Molecule: unclassified non-coding RNA, 207 nt
Filed under: Dioszegia sp.
Lineage: Eukaryota; Fungi; Basidiomycota; Tremellomycetes; Tremellales; Bulleribasidiaceae
Description: partial internal transcribed spacer region
Rfam family: Eukaryotic small subunit ribosomal RNA (bases 1-46)
Source: RNAcentral
AAGUCGUAACAAGGUUUCCGUAGGUGAACCUGCGGAAGGAUCAUUAAUAAACGGCGAAGCUCCUAACCGAGCCUAGCUUUAUAUUAUUCCUUACAACACCUGUGAACUAUUUGCCCUUUGGGGUACAAAACAACUACAAACAUAAUUGUAAUGAAUGUAAACAACUAUAAUUAAAUACAACUUUCAACAACGGAUCUCUUGGCUCUC